This 254-nucleotide ribosomal RNA is filed under the name uncultured bacterium. Its description in RNAcentral is "partial 16S ribosomal RNA". It matches the Rfam family "Bacterial small subunit ribosomal RNA", at positions 524 to 776 of the family's 1533-position model. The record is from RNAcentral.
CACGUAGGGGGCAAGCGUUGUCCGGAUUCAUUGGGCGUAAAGAGCUCGUAGGCGGUUCGAUAAGUCGGGUGUGAAACCUCCAGGCUCAACCUGGAGACGCCACCCGAUACUGUCGUGACUAGAGUCCAGUAGGGGAGCGUGGAAUUCCUGGUGUAGCGGUGAAAUGCGUAGAUAUCGGGAGGAAUACCGAUGGCGAAGGCGAGUCUCUGGACAGUUACUGACGCUGAGGCACGAAGGCCAGGGGAGCAAACGGG